UACGUAGGGUGCAAGCGUUAAUCGGAAUUACUGGGCGUAAAGCGUGCGCAUGCGGUUUUGUAAGUCAGAUGUGAAAUCCCCGGGCUUAACCUGGGAACUGCGUUUGAAACUACAAGGCUAGAGUGUGACAGAGGGGGGUGGAAUUCCACGUGUAGCAGUGAAAUGCGUAGAGAUGUGGAGGAACACCGAUGGCGAAGGCAGCCCCCUGGGUUAACACUGACGCUCAGGCACGAAAGCGUGGGGAGCAAACAGG
Molecule: ribosomal RNA, 253 nt
Filed under: uncultured bacterium
Lineage: Bacteria
Description: partial 16S ribosomal RNA
Rfam family: Bacterial small subunit ribosomal RNA
Source: RNAcentral